ACCAACAGGGAUUGCCUCAGUAACGGCGAGUGAAGCGGCAAGAGCUCAAAUUUGAAAGCUGGCCCCUUCGGGGUCCGCGUUGUAAUUUGCAGAGGAUGCUUCGGGUGCAGCCCCCGUCUAAGUGCCCUGGAACGGGCCGUCAUAGAGGGUGAGAAUCCCGUCUGGGACGGGGUGUCUGCGUCCGUGUGAAGCUCCUUCGAAGAGUCGAGUUGUUUGGGAAUGCAGCUCUAAAUGGGUGGUAAAUUUCAUCUAAAGCUAAAUACUGGCCGGAGACCGAUAGCGCACAAGUAGAGUGAUCGAAAGAUGAAAAGCACUUUGAAAAGAGAGUUAAACAGCACGUGAAAUUGUUGAAAGGGAAGCGUUUGCGACCAGACUCGCUCGCGGGGUUCAGCCGGCAUUCGUGCCGGUGUACUUCCCCGUGGGCGGGCCAGCGUCGGUUUGGGCGGCCGGUCAAAGGCCCUCGGAAUGUAUCACCUCUCGGGGUUGUCUUAUAGCCGAGGGUGCAAUGCGGCCUGCCCGGACCGAGGAACGCGCUUCGGCUCGGACGCUGGCGUAAUGGUCGUAAAUGACCCGUCUUGA
This 579-nucleotide ribosomal RNA is filed under the name Aspergillus udagawae. Its description in RNAcentral is "LSU rRNA". It matches the Rfam family "Eukaryotic large subunit ribosomal RNA", at positions 64 to 657 of the family's 3401-position model. Lineage: Eukaryota; Fungi; Ascomycota; Eurotiomycetes; Eurotiales; Aspergillaceae. The record is from RNAcentral.